Molecule: ribosomal RNA, 987 nt
Filed under: Plasmodium knowlesi
Lineage: Eukaryota; Apicomplexa; Aconoidasida; Haemosporida; Plasmodiidae
Description: SSU rRNA
Rfam family: Eukaryotic small subunit ribosomal RNA
Source: RNAcentral
ACAUAACUGAUGCCUCCGCGUAUCGACUUUGUGCGCAUUUUAGCUAUUAUGUGUUCUUUUAAUUAAAAUGAUUCUUUUUAAGAUUCAUCUAUUAAAAAUUUGCUUCGGCAUAAUUUUUUUUGAUGAUCUUGUUACUUUGAGUAAAUUAGAGUGUUCAAAGCAAACAGAUAUAGCAUUUGUGCGUUUGAAUACUACAGCAUGGAAUAACAAAAUUGAACAAGUCAGAAUUUUUUUGUUCUUUUUUCUUAUUUUGGCUUAGUUACGAUUAAUAGGAGUAGCUUGGGGGCAUUUGUAUUCAGAUGUCAGAGGUGAAAUUCUUAGAUUUUCUGGAGACAAACAACUGCGAAAGCAUUUGCCUAAAAUACUUCCAUUAAUCAAGAACGAAAGUUAAGGGAGUGAAGACGAUCAGAUACCGUCGUAAUCUUAACCAUAAACUAUGCCGACUAGGCUUUGGAUGAAAGAUUUUAAAAUAAGAGUUUUUCUUUUCUCUCCGGAGAUUAGAACUCUUAGAUUGCUUCCUUCAGUGCCUUAUGAGAAAUCAAAGUCUUUGGGUUCUGGGGCGAGUAUUCGCGCAAGCGAGAAAGUUAAAAGAAUUGACGGAAGGGCACCACCAGGCGUGGAGCUUGCGGCUUAAUUUGACUCAACACGGGAAAACUCACUAGUUUAAGACAAGAGUAGGAUUGACAGAUUAAUAGCUCUUUCUUGAUUUCUUGGAUGGUGAUGCAUGGCCGUUUUUAGUUCGUGAAUAUGAUUUGUCUGGUUAAUUCCGAUAACGAACGAGAUCUUAACCUGCUAAUUAGCGGCAAAUACGAUAUAUUCUUAUGUAGAAUUGAAUAUAGUGGAUUUGUUAGAUUUUGAAGAAAAUAUUGGAAUUACGUUAAAUGUGAUUCCUUUCCCUUUUCUACUUAAUUUACAUUUCCAUCUAUUUCUUUUUUGCGUAUGAAUGUAUUUGCUUGAUUGUAAAGCUUCUUAGAGGAACGAUGUGUG